Molecule: ribosomal RNA, 606 nt
Filed under: Streptococcus mutans
Lineage: Bacteria; Bacillati; Bacillota; Bacilli; Lactobacillales; Streptococcaceae
Description: bacterial SSU rRNA
Rfam family: Bacterial small subunit ribosomal RNA
Source: RNAcentral
UGGACGAAAGUCUGACCGAGCAACGCCGCGUGAGUGAAGAAGGUUUUCGGAUCGUAAAGCUCUGUUGUAAGUCAAGAACGUGUGUGAGAGUGGAAAGUUCACACAGUGACGGUAGCUUACCAGAAAGGGACGGCUAACUACGUGCCAGCAGCCGCGGUAAUACGUAGGUCCCGAGCGUUGUCCGGAUUUAUUGGGCGUAAAGGGAGCGCAGGCGGUCAGGAAAGUCUGGAGUAAAAGGCUAUGGCUCAACCAUAGUGUGCUCUGGAAACUGUCUGACUUGAGUGCAGAAGGGGAGAGUGGAAUUCCAUGUGUAGCGGUGAAAUGCGUAGAUAUAUGGAGGAACACCAGUGGCGAAAGCGGCUCUCUGGUCUGUCACUGACGCUGAGGCUCGAAAGCGUGGGUAGCGAACAGGAUUAGAUACCCUGGUAGUCCACGCCGUAAACGAUGAGUGCUAGGUGUAGGCCCUUUCCGGGGCUUAGUGCCGGAGCUAACGCAAUAAGCACUCCGCCUGGGGAGUACGACCGCAAGGUUGAAACUCAAAGGAAUUGACGGGGGCCCGCACAAGCGGUGGAGCAUGUGGUUUAAUUCGAAGCAACGCGAAGAACC